Papaver somniferum (opium poppy) is the source of this 1270-nucleotide RNA transcript. RefSeq lists it as uncharacterized. NCBI's taxonomy places the organism in Eukaryota, Viridiplantae, Streptophyta, Magnoliopsida, Ranunculales, Papaveraceae. The transcript is spliced from 5 exons. The record is from RefSeq and is a predicted model, not a curated record.
AAUCUUAAAAAAAUACGGACAUGAAAGAACUCGACGGAAACUUCGAAAUUAAGUAUUACUUUUCGUCUAUUUCUCAACCCUAAAGAGUUUCAAACUGCGAUUGAAGCAGCAAAUAGGCGAGAGUGAUUAAUCCAGUCUAUCCAGAGAUUCCAUACGCAUACGGUAACAUGGGUCAGUGGGUGCACUUUGGGUUUCUUUGAUUUUUCAAGAAGCUAUCAAGCUACAACUUGAUUAAAGUACAGAUAUUGCUUCAAAUAUAGAAUCAUUUGUUCCGUAUGUACGGAACUACCUAGAGAGCGAGAAAAGCAAUAUCAAAGGUUCUAAAGUGAAGACUAAUUUGCUGGUGGCUCCGUUUCAAUCUGUUUCUCUUUUUGGACAUAGCUUAGUGCUUAAAUUUUCUUCGAUAAUUGUCGAAUAUGAAUGCCUGUUUGUUUUCGUUUCUAAUAAAAACUAAAAGAUAUUUCGUUUUCGAUGUCUUAUAUACUCCAAUGUGGUCUAUAAAUCCAUUCAUUUCAGUAAAAAUUUCAUUAAGAAGGCAAUGUGUGCUAAAAAACAUUUGCAUUAAAGGGCAUUCGAUUGUUUUUGCACAAGGUCGUCUAAAUCUCAGAGACGGCCCUGAUAAUUGUAGUUCUAUGUAUAUGAUAUAUUAUCACUUCUCACCCUUUUCUUUCAUAUCAUUGUUCUGAUCACUAGGUUCGGUCAAAAAGCACCUCUUUUAAAGCAGAGAUGGAGCGCUUUUUCGGAGAAUUAAAAAAGGGAAAAACUCUACCACAGGAAGUGGAGAGUCUGGAGACCAAGGCUGCUCGUAAAGCACGUCUUAAGCAAACCAUCUCUGAUAUUGGGUUUCUGGGGAUACCUCUUUGGUUCUCGAUUCUUCUCGCCGCACAUGUACUAACAAAGCCCUCGUUGAUUACUCCUGCUGCUGAUCCGGGUAAGGUAGUUGCCUCUCGGUGAACCAUACACUUUUACAAAACGUAGAGGGUGAAGGAGGCUACUUCUGGUGGAAUGAGCAAACUUCUAAAUCCGUUUCUGAUUGACUGUUAUAAAGUGAAGUCCUCACAUAACUUGGGAUGUACUGAUAUAUAUACUCUCACCUAGAUUUCGUGAUUUUCGGUUUCGUAUAUACUACAGCUAGCUGUAUCCGUUUCUUGUGUCUAUCUUAAUCUCUUCGAUUAGGUAAAAUAUACGACCUUCUUUCUAACUUGUUCCAUCGCAAUAACGAAGAGGAAUAUGAACAGAAACAGCUUUAAUAUUAGUGAUUUCUAUGGUA